UGGGCUCUAGCUCAGUGGUACAGCACUUGCCUAGCAUUUGUGCAAAGUCCCAGGUUCAAUCACUGGUACCAA
RNAcentral lists this transfer RNA (72 nucleotides) under Marmota monax (woodchuck). Its description in RNAcentral is "tRNA.Ala". Lineage: Eukaryota; Metazoa; Chordata; Mammalia; Rodentia; Sciuridae. The record is from RNAcentral.